AGUGAACGCUGGCGGUAGGCCUAAUACAUGCAAGUCGAACGGCAGCACAGUAAGAGCUUGCCCUUACGGGUGGCGAGUGGCGGACGGGUGAGGCAUAGAUCGGAAUCUUCUUUUUCGUGGGGGAUAACGUAGGGAAACUUACGCUAAUACCGAAUACGAACUACGGGUGAAAUCAGGAGAUCUUCGGACUUUUCGCGACUCUAUGAGACGGAGUCGGAUUAGCUAGUUGGGGGGGUAAAGGCCCACCAAGGCGACGAUCCGUAGCUGGUCUGAGAGGAUGAUCAGCCACACUGGAACUGAGACACGGUCCAGACUCCUACGGGAGGCAGCAGUGGGGAAUAUUGGACAAUGGGCGAAAGCCUGAUCCAGCCAUGCCGCGUGAGUGAAGAAGGCCUUCGGGUUGUAAAGCCCUUUUGUUAGGAAAGAAAAGAUGCAGAUUAAUACCCCGCUGUUCUGACGGUACCCAAAGAGUAAGCACCGGCUAACUUCGUG
Molecule: ribosomal RNA, 492 nt
Filed under: uncultured bacterium
Lineage: Bacteria
Description: partial 16S ribosomal RNA
Rfam family: Bacterial small subunit ribosomal RNA
Source: RNAcentral